Molecule: ribosomal RNA, 531 nt
Filed under: uncultured bacterium
Lineage: Bacteria
Description: bacterial SSU rRNA
Rfam family: Bacterial small subunit ribosomal RNA
Source: RNAcentral
CCUACGGGAGGCAGCAGUGGGGAAUAUUGGACAAUGGGCGGAAGCCUGAUCCAGCCAUGCCGCGUGUGUGAAGAAGGCCUUUUGGUUGUAAAGCACUUUAAGCGAGGAGGAGGCUACUAGUACUAAUACUACUGGAUAGUGGACGUUACUCGCAGAAUAAGCACCGGCUAACUCUGUGCCAGCAGCCGCGGUAAUACAGGAGGGUGCGAGCGUUAAUCGGUAUUUACGUGGGCGUAAAGCGUGCGUAGGCGGUCUUUUAAGUCGGAUGUGAAACUCCCCGAGCUUAACGUUGGGAAUUGCAUUCGAUACUGGGAAGCUAGAGUAUGGGAGAGGAUGGUAGAAUUCCAGGUGUAGCGGUGAAAUGCGUAGAGAUCUGGAGGAAUACCGAUGGCGAAGGCAGCCAUCUGGACCUAAUACUGACGCUGAGGUACGAAAGCAUGGGGGAANACAAACGAGGUAUUAGACUACCGUGGUACGUCCACUCGUACCGUAACGUAAGUAGUACUACUACGUCCGGUUCGGGUCGUUGUA